GGCCAGGUAGCCAAGGAGUAAGGCAGAGGUCUGCAAAACCUCUAUGCGCGGGUGCAAUUCCCGCCCUGGCCUCCA
Molecule: transfer RNA, 75 nt
Filed under: Candidatus Berkelbacteria bacterium
Lineage: Bacteria; Candidatus Berkelbacteria
Description: tRNA-Cys
Rfam family: tRNA
About the family: Transfer RNA (tRNA) molecules are approximately 80 nucleotides in length.
Source: RNAcentral